AUACGGAGGAUCCGAGCGUUAUCCGGAUUUAUUGGGUUUAAAGGGAGCGUAGGUGGACAUGUAAGUCAGUUGUGAAAGUUUGCGGCUCAACCGUAAAAUUGCAGUUGAUACUGGCUGUCUUGAGUACAGUAGAGGUAGGCGGAAUUCGUGGUGUAGCGGUGAAAUGCUUAGAUAUCACGAAGAACCCCGAUUGCGAAGGCAGCUCACUGGACUGCAACUGACACUGAUGCUCGAAAGUGUGGGUAUCAAACAGGAUUAGAUACCCUGGUAGUCCACACAGUAAACGAUGAAUACUCGCUGUUUGCGAUAUACAGUAAGCGGCCAAGCGAAAGCAUUAAGUAUUCCACCUGGGGAGUACGCCGGCAACGGUGAAACUCAAAUGAAUUGGCGGGG
RNAcentral lists this ribosomal RNA (393 nucleotides) under uncultured bacterium. RNAcentral's name for it is "partial 16S ribosomal RNA". It matches the Rfam family "Bacterial small subunit ribosomal RNA", at positions 523 to 918 of the family's 1533-position model. The record is from RNAcentral.